Non-coding RNA from Poecilia reticulata (guppy), 1478 nucleotides. The record is from RefSeq and is a predicted model, not a curated record. NCBI's taxonomy places the organism in Eukaryota, Metazoa, Chordata, Actinopteri, Cyprinodontiformes, Poeciliidae.
UUUUUGAGUACUUUCUCCACCACUGCUUGUUCAUUUCACAAAUCAAGGUAUGGAAAAUUAAUGAAUGUCUUUUUUAUUUGGUAUCAGUAAUUAGUCACAAUAAAAGUAUUAAGCUGAUUCUAUACCUAUGAAAAUGUAACCGACAUAAUAAAAGAAGCUUAAGAAAAGCUCUUAUGUUCUUGGCUUUAUGGUUCUGAUGUCUGUGUGUUAGCUACGUUUUAGAUGUUCAGGCACUAUCAUAUUGAUUCUGGCUUGUUUUUUAAGAUCAGUCUUCUCUUCUUGCUUCAUGUCCUAAUCUCCUCAUUAACAGGCUUCUUCCUCACCCAUCCAUGUCUCCCUCAUACCCUCCUUCCUCCCCUUUAAAAACAUCCCUCAGUCUGAGCUAUCAUUCACUCUCUCUCCUCUCCUGCCUCCCCAUUCAGUGCCAUUAUUUGCCUCUCUGUCUCCACCACCAUGUCUUUCUCUUAGGCUUUCACUUACGUUUGUUCAAAAGCCUUUCCCCCCCUUCCUCUUUACCUCCCUCCUCCCUCACUCUCGUCUCUGCCAUAAACCUCCAUCUCUGGCUGCAUCGCCGCUGCGUACGAAGCGGAUGGUGGCAGCCCACUCAGUCCUCUCGGGGAGCAGAAGAGGCCUGCCACACAGAUGCGCCACCAUUGUUGGCUUGUGAGUCACAGCGAGGCAAGCGGAACCAAAGAGUUAAAUCAGGUACAACAUUGUGCUCUUCAGCGUGUCAUCACCACCCCCGAUGGUGCUGAAUCUGGGGACCACCAGGGAUGACACCGCUGUCUAGGCUACUACUCCUCGUGGGUUUGUUACCUAUAAACCUUGGCUGCACUGGAGUCGUACUGUGGUGUUGUAAUGAUCAAACCUGUGUGUAGUAAAAUUGGUGAUUUAAACUAAAUUACUCUGGACUGAAAUAACUUUAGCCCAGAGGAUUUGUAUAACCUGCUCCUUUGAACUUCCUGAGAUGAGCAGAGAAAAUGGAUCUACAUAAGUUUCAUUUUAUUCACAUAAAGUUUGCUUUUUUUUAACAAGUAUGAAAAAAACCUUAGCAACUUCUAAACAAGAAGGAGUAUUGACUGUUUACCACUCUGGAGCAGUGGCAGUUUCUGGGUGACAUGGGAAACCGCCCUGGGCAGCUUCUUGUAGGGGGUGCCCUUAUUUUCUAAAGGAACACAUUUAAGCUAAUAAUCCAAGGAGCAAACGUCCAGAAACAGAUAUGAACCCAAGAGCUAUAACUCACUAAGACCUCCGUUGGCAUGUUCAUUUUUAGGAAAAAAAAAAUAUAUACUGAAUACCAUUUUACAUGUAUUCAUUCAGUUCAUGUAAUUUCAAAACAUCACACUGAUGUUUCUUCCUAUGGGUUUUCUUCCUAGGGGACAUGGGGAAAAAUAUUUUUGCAUUUGCUUGCAAUGAAUAAAAUCCACCCUGCUCUAUUUUUGUAUGAAGGCACAGUGAUGACAAAUGUCAAUUAAAAA